This 465-nucleotide ribosomal RNA is filed under the name Vreelandella stevensii. RNAcentral describes it as "partial 16S ribosomal RNA". It matches the Rfam family "Bacterial small subunit ribosomal RNA", at positions 338 to 795 of the family's 1533-position model. The record is from RNAcentral. Lineage: Bacteria; Pseudomonadati; Pseudomonadota; Gammaproteobacteria; Oceanospirillales; Halomonadaceae.
UCUACGGGGGGCUGCAGUGGGGAAUAUUGGACAAUGGGCGAAAGCCUGAUCCAGCCAUGCCGCGUGUGUGAAGAAGGCCUUCGGGUUGUAAAGCACUUUCAGUGGGGAAGAAAGCCUUGGGGCUAAUACCCUCGAGGAAGGACAUCACCCACAGAAGAAGCACCGGCUAACUCCGUGCCAGCAGCCGCGGUAAUACGGAGGGUGCGAGCGUUAAUCGGAAUUACUGGGCGUAAAGCGCGCGUAGGCGGUCUGAUAAGCCGGUUGUGAAAGCCCCGGGCUCAACCUGGGAACGGCAUCCGGAACUGUCAGGCUAGAGUGCAGGAGAGGAAGGUAGAAUUCCCGGUGUAGCGGUGAAAUGCGUAGAGAUCGGGAGGAAUACCAGUGGCGAAGGCGGCCUUCUGGACUGACACUGACGCUGAGGUGCGAAAGCGUGGGUAGCAAACAGGAUUAGAUACCCUAGUAGUC